Molecule: long non-coding RNA, 6685 nt
Organism: Oncorhynchus tshawytscha (Chinook salmon)
Lineage: Eukaryota; Metazoa; Chordata; Actinopteri; Salmoniformes; Salmonidae
Source: Ensembl
UGUUGUUGUAUAUUGCAUAACAAUUGCAUAUUGUGAUGUGAAACACUGAGUUGAAAGAACAUACAAAAAUACAUGUUAAAAAAAGUCUAAUGAAAGGGAGAUGUCAUGUCUGUUCAUGUACAGUAUUUACCUUGAGUGCCUGAGGCUGGCGCUGUUACUAACUACUACAUGUGGUCAUCUGUACUUGCACUUGACCGUGACCUCUGAUAAACUUGGUUCUUCUACCCGCAUCCCUAUCUCAGUGUGCUAGUAUAUUACACUAGCCAAACCUAGCUUAGUUAAGCGCUAGCUAGCUCUAGGCUAGUUGGUUUCAGUCAAUGUGAGCUUACAUCUUUAGUGGUUAAUAAUGUAACGGUUGUAGCAUUGUUUCUCAUAGGCCUCCUGUCAUAUAUAGCUUUUUCAAAAUUGACACUAAUAGUACAGUGAGUUGUAAAUAAUGUGAUUGUGUAUGUAUGGUGUAUGGUGACUCAAGGUUUGGAUGAAUGGACCUACUAGACCCUCAAGACAAAUCCCUUGGCGGGUACCAGGAGUGGUGGGAGGACAACCCAAAGGUCUUUCUCUUUGCACAUAACAGCAGCGUCCAGGCUUCCAGAGUACUCACCCUAUUGCCUGCUGUAUGCACGGGAGCCACAGCUUUUUACUGAGUUAAACAAUGCAAUUGUAUAUACAAUAGUAUUAAACAUAUGUGAUUGACUUAGUGUUGUUUGUGUAUUGCUAUUUUUGUAUUUGUAUAAAACUUCCACCACCUCAGGUGGCGUUUCAGGCCAAAUGACUUGGCCUGGAAGAAGGACGAAAGUAAGGUGAGACCUGGGAAUCGUCGCUGCUCUUUUACUUCUACCUGGGGUCACCAUCUAUUAAGGUGAACAUAAUAUAUACUGUCAGCAGUACCAACACUGGCCCAGGGGUUUCUCCAAAUAGUAAAUCUCAAGGCUAACCACUGGGUCACUUUAAGCAACCUCCGCUUCCAGGUAGGUACUGUUGAGAUGUAUGACUCCAGUGGUCAUGACGCCAUCCUGGAGUUUCUCUCACAACUCACAUCUCUCUUUUCCAGGGACCAUCCCGUAUCUCCCGCAUCAACCCCACUGACAUAACAAAUGACACGGGUAUUCUUUAUUUUCUGUUUGUCAUUAACAUUAUUGCAUGUCUAAUCAAACAUUUAAAGGAAAUCAUUCAAUAACAGUAUUUUUACAUGCCUGUGUGUUUGCGUGUGUAGAAACGUUAAAGACAUGGAUUUCAUGUUGUCACGGUAACAAGGUACCCAAAAGUAGUUUGAAGUAAUGUUUUCAUUUUAUUAGCUGAAUAAAAAACAGGAGCUGGUGCACACCCAGAAAAAAUGAUUUUGUGUGGAGGUGCUGACUAACGGGGAAUAAACUAUACAAAUAGAAUGGCACACUCCAUAUAUAAACUCCCAGUCAUUUAUUGGGUAAAUCACCAAUGUUUCAGCAUCACUGUGCUUUCUUCAGGGUAAUGUCAUGAAUACUUGAACCAGGUUAUGUAGACAAACAGUGCAAUUAGUGCAACCAAUGACAAUAGUGAUGGGUGUGUCAUAAUUAUUAAGUUAAUUCAAAUUAAUUAGUGAAACUGUUAAAAAACAAUAGUUUAUGGCGUAUUAAAUAUAUCAGGCUAUUGUUAUCAUAUGCAAACAUAAUUAAAUAUUGUACAUAAUAUUAGCAUCAACAUACAUUAUUGUUUAAUUAAAUGCAUAAUAAGCAUCAUCAACAGAGGGAACAUAUUAGGUGUACACUAAUAAGCUGUAGAAAGAAUAUAUCAAUUUAUAAGACAAGUUCAAAAAAAUAGAGAAUUUUUCAUAAGGGCCUGAGAUCAAUGUGAAUAUUUCAGACCACUAGGGGUCAAUGUUUUUAGACAGGAUAUCCAGUAAGCCUCUGUCGUGUCUUUACUAUCAUUAACUGAAGACUUAUAGUUUUUAUCAAAGAUUCUCUGUAAUUAGUAUUACGCGAUUAGACUGAUUAAUCAUGUAACCGUAGUUACUAGGAAGUCGGGGCACCAAGGAAAAAUAUUCAGAUUACAAAGUUAUCAUUUCCUAAAAUAACUUGUCAGAUAUUUUAUCUGACCAAUUAGUCUUCGAAUUAAUGAAUUAUUUACCUCACGUUAGUCUCAUUCCAAACGUCGUAAUAGUUGGUUAUCUGCAUGAACCCAGUCUUCACUAUGAGUCAUCCAUACAUCAAUUGUCUUAAAUCAUUUAUUUAUUACUAACUAAGUAAUUCACAGAAAUGCAUAAACAAACAAACAAGGUAAAUGUGGUUACAAGAAAUGAUAGGAGAAUGUGCCCUAGUGGGCUAAACUGGCAUGGCGGCUUGUUAGACAAAAGGGGAAGUGGGGGUCAACUAAGAAGUCACUACAGAGUGAUAAUUAUAACAAUUGAAAUGCUAAUCCUUUACACAUGAACGCUCACUCAUUCGGGAACAAUUGCAAUCAAUAUAUAUAUUUACGCUCAGUGUGUCGUCUUGAUCGCUGGUGAAAAGUUUGUUUCCUUUGUAGAAUUGUCCGUCUCUCUCCCUCUCUUGGUUAGAGUGGAUUGUUCAGAGUGACAUUACUUCGUUUCGUUAUAGAAUGGAUAUUUCGGCGGAUGUCAUUCUUCGCGUUCAAUGAUACCGAAUUGCUAGCUGCAGACUAGUAAUUAAUAUCAAAGACUUGUUCUUAUUCUGUCGGUAUCGAUAGUCUAAGAGUUUAACCACGUAGUAUGGUUAAAAGAUUCAGCAAUGGUCUACAACCUUUGUCUCCUCCUAAUGGAGAUAAACAUGGUCUGGUGAUAAUUUCUCAAAGUUGGGUUUUAUUCGGAAUGGCAGAAAAGGGCUGUCCCAGGACGCCUGACCCAAACUGGGCUCAGGGGCGGUCCUCUGAUUUAGUUAACUCCAAUCCCCUUUUUGAGUUUUCCUUCAUUAAACAGUACAAAAUCAUAUUACACAAUUUUAUAAACAGUAUCAUACAUUCAUCUUAUACAACAAUUCUUAUAUAAACAGCGUUAUGGUAAUGUGGCCACACCGUCUACCAUGAGCUUCCCCAAGUUGUGACAAACGGACCAGUUCGUAGCUGGAUUCUUCACCAAUCUUUUAUACUUUCUCCGGAACAUGAAAUUUGUUCGUACCUCAAGUUCUGUGAGGUGGAAGAAAUUCCUUUCUGCUCAAUGAAAAUUUCCUCUGCCUCUUAUAGUAUGUGGCCAUGUGGCAGGGUCUUCUCAGGAAUUUACGACGUCUCUCUGACCACAGCAGCCUAGUUGAAGGAGGAACGGGGGAGGCAGGGAAAGGGGGAUGGGGCCUGCUAUACCCAAAGAGGCCAACGUCAUGACACCUCCCUUUGUAGUAGUAGGAUCUCAAUGUUUCCUCCUCUCCUUGGUAGAGCAACAUGCUCAAUGCCUAUGUAUUUGAGGGAGGAGAUUGGAUGGCUAUCUUCAACAAAGUGAGCUGCUUACACCUGAUUGAGCUGCGGUGUUCAGCUAUGCUGUGUUUUAAUUGUACUUUUGUUUGUCCUACAUAGACUUUUCCACAUGAACAGGUGAUGAGAGAGAUUACUCCCCUUGGUCUUGCAUGAGAUAAUACCCCUAGGAUGUUUUUAUAGUGCUAUUGCACUGUGCGCAUGAGCCUCAUUUGUAGUUCCCAUUUGGAAUUUGUGUCAAGAGUGUCUGAGUGGGCUCAGGGAACAUGUCAGAUCUCACCAAGCUAUCUCCAUUAUUGCAACCACAAAACUUGUUUAAAACUUCUUAGGGCUGCAAUCCCGUUAACGGGAUCGAUAUAACAACAGCCAGUGAAAGUGCAGGGCGCCUAAUUCAAAACAACAGAAAUCUCAUAAUUAAAAUUCCUCAAACAUGCAUGUAUCUUAUACCGUUGUAAAGGUAAUCGUGUUGUUAAUCCCACCACAGUGUCCGAUUUCAAAUAGGAUUUACAGCGAAAGCACCACAAACGAUUAUGUUAGGUCACCACCAACUCACAGAAAAAUUCUGCCAUUUUUCCAGCCAAAGAGAGGAGUCACAAAAAGCACAAAUAGAGAUUAAAUUAAUCACUAACCUUUGAUGAUCUUCAUCAGAUGACACUCAUAGUACAUCAUGUUACACAAUACAUGUAUGUUUUGUUUGAUAAAGUUCAUAUUUAUAUAAAAAAAUCUCAGUAUACUUUGGCGCGUUACGUUCACUAGUUCCUCUGUGGAGGACAGAGGAGCCUCUUAAAGAAGAAGUUACAGGUCUGUGAGAGACAGAAAUCUUGCUUGUUUGUAGGUAACCAAAUACUUAUUUUCCACCAUAAUUUGCCAAUAAAUUCAUUAAAAAUCCUACAAUGUGAUUUUCUGGAUAUUCUUUUCUCAUUUUCUCUGUCAUAGUUGAAGUGUACCUAUGAUGAAAAUUACAGGCCACUCUCGUCUUUUUAAGUGGGAGAACUUGCACAAUUGGUGGCUGACUAAAUACUUUUUUUGCCCCACUGUAUAUUGGGCCUAUAGCCACUGCACAAACCUCAUUGUUAUAUAACUGUUUUCAAUUGGUUAAUGUUGCAUAGGAUUAAGAUUUUUAAAGUCAUUUUUCAAAAUCUGAGCGGUAGAUCUCUGAUUUAAUUUUGACUCAGAAAAGGUUGGUGACCUGCUCUACAACAUCUGUAGAGUAUGACCUUUCCACACACAGGAAGCGGCGCAGGUCCUAAUCCAGGCGCUUUGCCAUCUCCCGUCUAGACUACUGCAACUCUCUGAUGGCUGGGCUACCCGCUUGUGCCAUCAAACCUCUGCAACUUAUCCAGAAUGCCACAGCCCGCCUGGUGUUCAAACUAUCUGCAGUGCCUUCAGAAAGUAUUCAUACCCCUUGACUUAUUCCACAUUUAGUUGUGUUACAGCUUGAAUUCAAAAUGGAUUAAAUAGAUUUAUUUUCUCACUGAUCUACACACAAUACCCCAUAGGUUGGUAAAAGAGGAAAGGUUGACUGUAAUUGUUAGGUUGGUAAUGGGGGAAAGGUUGACCGUUAUUGUUAGGUUGGUAAUGGGGGAAAGGUUGACUGUAAUUGUUAGGUUGGUAAUAGGGGAAAGGUUGACUGUAAUUGUUAGGUUGGUAAUAGGGGAAAGGUUGACUGUAAUUGUUAGGUUGACUGUAAUUGUUAGGUUGGUAAUAGGGGAAAGGUUGACUGUAUUUGUUAGGUUGGUAAUAGGGGAAAGGUUGACUGUAAUUGUUAGGUUGGUCAUAGGGGAAAGGUUGACUGUAAUUGUUAGAUUGGUUGGUUGAGAGACAUAGUUGCAUAAAGAGAGAUGAUAAGUGGUGUGAAAAGUAUUCUGAGAAAUGUUCAGUGGUCCCCCUUACGGAUCAUGUUAUACUGAUACGGUUAAAUUACUGUCUAAAGGGUCUGGGACCUAGAGUGUCAGACAAAGAUUGGCACAUUUUCUAUGGUUUUAAAACAGAUCCCAAUGAAAAAUAGAAUCGUUAAAUCAGAGCCUUCAUCAAGAAUUAAAGGAAUACCACCCCAGUAAUACAUUUUGAAGCAAAACCAAUGCCUUGUUCAAUAGGACCAAUGCAUGUUGAACAUGGUUUUCUGUAUUCACCCUCUCAACCAUUUAACUUGCUAGGAAGUUCCCUCCAAAGUGUAUCUCUCCCCUUCUGAAUUGGCCAAUGGAUUUUAUAAUUUCGGCGCAUGACAUGUUAAUCUCAAAAUAGACAUUUAAUGAGUGUGAAGCAGAAAGUGAACAUCCAAUGGAAAUUGGUCAUAUAUAUUUAGAGUAACAUCAUUAGGGUAGACUAAAAUGCAAACAAUGCUUUCAAAUAAGGUGAAAGUAAAAGUGGACAAUGGCAUCCCGGUGAACUGUCACGAGUCUGACCGAGGGUGGCUCUCCUUCCCGGUCGUUGCCACUGAUUGUCUUUCCUCCCCCUCCUGGUAUGUUUAUUGUUAGCACCUGUUAGUGAGUCAUUAGUUGGGCUUUAUUAGACAGCCGGCCCGCCUGUUCCUUUGUGCAGGAUUAAUCAUUGUGACCUUCGUGUAGGUAGUAGAGGAACGUGUUUGUUCCUGGUGGUGUAUUUUCUGCUGUACUGUUUUCGUCCCCCGUGUUUGGGGCAUUUGAUUUUGAGCACCCAGUGUUGCGUUAGUGCAUUAAAAGAGCACAGUAUUGCACUCUCUGUUUCCUGCAUCUGACUCCACACCCACGACACCCGGAGCAUUACAGAAUCCCGCACCACAUUGAAUGGAAUCAGCAGGAGCGAUGGAGGAACGGGUUCUCCACCGCACCACCUUCCUCCAUCGGAUUGGAUCAGCGAUGGAUCAAAUGAUGGAGAGAAUGGACCGAUGGGAGAGGAGUGGUCUCCUCUCUCCACCUUCGGCACCCCCGGCUCCGGACUUCCCAUCUCCCGACUCCAGCACUCUCCGUCUGACACUCCCGAGGGCUUAUGAUGGAGCGGCGGCAGGGUGCCAGGGUUUUUUACUCCAACUGGAGCCAUACCUGGCCACCGUCAGACCCACUCCCCCGGGAGCGGAGAGGGUGGGUGUCCUCAUCUCCUGCCUCAGGGGUCGUGCUCUGGAGUGGGCGAACGCAGUCUGGAAUGGCCCGGACUCAGCGAAGGAGUGGCUCCCCUAGAGGAACGUGUUUGUUCCUGGUCGUGUAUUUUUUGCUGUACUGUUUUCGUCCCCCAUGUUUGGGGCAUUUGAUUUUGAGCACCCAGUGUUGCGUUAGUGUAUUCAGUUGAUGUCAAAUUGAAUAAGUGUUGACAGUAU